AAAUUGAAGAGUUUGAUCAUGGCUCAGAUUGAACGCUGGCGGCAGGCCUAACACAUGCAAGUCGAACGGUAACAGGAAACAGCUUGCUGUUUCGCUGACGAGUGGCGGACGGGUGAGUAAUGUCUGGGAAACUGCCUGAUGGAGGGGGAUAACUACUGGAAACGGUAGCUAAUACCGCAUAACGUCGCAAGACCAAAGAGGGGGACCUUCGGGCCUCUUGCCAUCGGAUGUGCCCAGAUGGGAUUAGCUUGUAGGUGGGGUAACGGCUCACCUAGGCGACGAUCCCUAGCUGGUCUGAGAGGAUGACCAGCCACACUGGAACUGAGACACGGUCCAGACUCCUACGGGAGGCAGCAGUGGGGAAUAUUGCACAAUGGGCGCAAGCCUGAUGCAGCCAUGCCGCGUGUAUGAAGAAGGCCUUCGGGUUGUAAAGUACUUUCAGCGGGGAGGAAGGGAGUAAAGUUAAUACCUUUGCUCAUUGACGUUACCCGCAGAAGAAGCACCGGCUAACUCCGUGCCAGCAGCCGCGGUAAUACGGAGGGUGCAAGCGUUAAUCGGAAUUACUGGGCGUAAAGCGCACGCAGGCGGUUUGUUAAGUCAGAUGUGAAAUCCCCGGGCUCAACCUGGGAACUGCAUCUGAUACUGGCAAGCUUGAGUCUCGUAGAGGGGGGUAGAAUUCCAGGUGUAGCGGUGAAAUGCGUAGAGAUCUGGAGGAAUACCGGUGGCGAAGGCGGCCCCCUGGACGAAGACUGACGCUCAGGUGCGAAAGCGUGGGGAGCAAACAGGAUUAGAUACCCUGGUAGUCCACGCCGUAAACGAUGUCGACUUGGAGGUUGUGCCCUUGAGGCGUGGCUUCCGGAGCUAACGCGUUAAGUCGACCGCCUGGGGAGUACGGCCGCAAGGUUAAAACUCAAAUGAAUUGACGGGGGCCCGCACAAGCGGUGGAGCAUGUGGUUUAAUUCGAUGCAACGCGAAGAACCUUACCUGGUCUUGACAUCCACGGAAGUUUUCAGAGAUGAGAAUGUGCCUUCGGGAACCGUGAGACAGGUGCUGCAUGGCUGUCGUCAGCUCGUGUUGUGAAAUGUUGGGUUAAGUCCCGCAACGAGCGCAACCCUUAUCCUUUGUUGCCAGCGGUCCGGCCGGGAACUCAAAGGAGACUGCCAGUGAUAAACUGGAGGAAGGUGGGGAUGACGUCAAGUCAUCAUGGCCCUUACGACCAGGGCUACACACGUGCUACAAUGGCGCAUACAAAGAGAAGCGACCUCGCGAGAGCAAGCGGACCUCAUAAAGUGCGUCGUAGUCCGGAUUGGAGUCUGCAACUCGACUCCAUGAAGUCGGAAUCGCUAGUAAUCGUGGAUCAGAAUGCCACGGUGAAUACGUUCCCGGGCCUUGUACACACCGCCCGUCACACCAUGGGAGUGGGUUGCAAAAGAAGUAGGUAGCUUAACCUUCGGGAGGGCGCUUACCACUUUGUGAUUCAUGACUGGGGUGAAGUCGUAACAAGGUAACCGUAGGGGAACCUGCGGUUGGAUCACCUCCUUA
RNAcentral lists this ribosomal RNA (1542 nucleotides) under Escherichia fergusonii. RNAcentral's name for it is "bacterial SSU rRNA". It matches the Rfam family "Bacterial small subunit ribosomal RNA". The record is from RNAcentral. Lineage: Bacteria; Pseudomonadati; Pseudomonadota; Gammaproteobacteria; Enterobacterales; Enterobacteriaceae.